RNAcentral lists this ribosomal RNA (468 nucleotides) under uncultured bacterium. RNAcentral describes it as "partial 16S ribosomal RNA". It matches the Rfam family "Bacterial small subunit ribosomal RNA", at positions 28 to 507 of the family's 1533-position model. The record is from RNAcentral.
GACGAACGCUGGCGGCGUGCUUAACACAUGCAAGUCGAACGGAAAGGCCCUUCUUUUGUGGGGUGCUCGAGUGGCGAACGGGUGAGUAACACGUUAGUAACCUGCCCUUGACUUUGGGAUAACUUCAGUAAACUGGGGCUAAUACCGGAUAGGAGCUCCUGCUGCAUGGUGGGGGUUGGAAAGUUUCGGCGGUUGGGGAUGGACUCGCGGCUUAUCAGCUUGUUGGUGGUGUAGUGGCUUACCAAGGCUUUGACGGGUAGCCGGCGUGAGAGGGUGACCGGCAACAUUGGGACUGAGAUGCGGCGCAGACUCCUACGGGAGGCAGCAGUGGGGGAUAUUGCAAAAUGGGCGGAAGCAUGAUGCAGCAACGCCGCGUGCGGGAUGACGGACUUCGGGGUGUAAACCGCUUUCGCCUGUGACGAAGAGUGAGUGACGGUAAUGGGUAAAGAAGCACCGGCUAACUACGUG